RNAcentral lists this ribosomal RNA (450 nucleotides) under uncultured bacterium. RNAcentral's name for it is "bacterial SSU rRNA". It matches the Rfam family "Bacterial small subunit ribosomal RNA", at positions 354 to 796 of the family's 1533-position model. The record is from RNAcentral.
GUGGGGAAUUUUGGACAAUGGGGGCAACCCUGAUCCAGCCAUUCCGCGUGAGUGAAGAAGGCCUUCGGGUUGUAAAGCUCUUUCAGCAGGAACGAAACGGUGCGCUCUAACAUAGCGUGCUAAUGACGGUACCUGCAGAAGAAGCACCGGCUAACUACGUGCCAGCAGCCGCGGUAAUACGUAGGGUGCGAGCGUUAAUCGGAAUUACUGGGCGUAAAGCGUGCGCAGGCGGAUUGUUAAGCAAGACGUGAAAUCCCCGGGCUUAACCUGGGAAUGGCGUUUUGAACUGGCAGUCUAGAGUGUGUCAGAGGGGGGUGGAAUUCCACGUGUAGCAGUGAAAUGCGUAGAGAUGUGGAGGAACACCAAUGGCGAAGGCAGCCCCCUGGGAUAACACUGACGCUCAUGUACGAAAGCGUGGGUAGCAAACAGGAUUAGAAACCCCAGUAGUCC